Long non-coding RNA from Homo sapiens (human), 786 nucleotides. Ensembl annotates it as long intergenic non-protein coding RNA 1013. NCBI's taxonomy places the organism in Eukaryota, Metazoa, Chordata, Mammalia, Primates, Hominidae. The record is from Ensembl.
AGAUCUUCUUGGCUUAGCGGCUGAAGACUGACACUGCCCGAUUGCCUUGGAAGCCCCCUAAACCAUCACGGAUGCCGAGCUUCGGGUAACUCUCACAGUGGAAGGCAGCACCGAACCCCAGAGAGAGGCAAUGACCUUCCCAGGGGAUUUCUACAAAUUAAUAGAAAAACUGGAACUCCACUGCCCACUGCAGCACCACCAUGUCUUUCGGACAGUACCUCUUGCCACAUGACAGAGUCUUGCUCUGUUGCCAGAUUGGAGUGAAGUGGCGCGAUCUCAGCUCACUGCACCCUCUGACUCCCUGAUUCAAGUGAUGCUCCUGCCUCAGACUCCCAAGUAUUUCCUAUAUCUUCCUGUCUUUUCCAUGGCCAAAAAUGAUCAAGUAAAGAACAUUAAAGAAGAAAUAAAUUACUACAUAUUAAAAAAUACAUACUGUAAGAUGUUCUUUGUACAAAAAUGUGACAACUUCAAUAAGAGUAACUUGGACAACCUGAGGCAUUAAUUGAGGAUCAAUAUGAUGACUUUACAUUGAGAAUCACAUAUACCCUCUGAAUAAAUUUAAAAAAUGAAAUUUUUUAAUUUUCAUUAAAAAUUAAAUUUUUUUGAGUGAUGAAAAUACUCAAUCACAUUAUUUUCAAAUUGUUGAUAAGCAUGGAAAUUAUCAGAGAACCAGAAUAUUCAAGGUUUAUCUUUCCUGUUUUUGUCUUAAAUCACAACUAUGUGUUAAAUAAUUUGUAUGACCUAUUUCAGUGGCAGUAGGUUAAAUAAAAUUCUGUUUGUAUCUCC